CAGCCGCCACGGUAAUACCGAGGGUGCGAGCGUUAAUCGGAUUUACUGGGCGUAAAGCGAGCGCAGGCGGUUAGAUAAGUCUGAAGUUAAAGGCUGUGGCUUAACCAUAGUACGCUUUGGAAACUGUUUAACUUGAGUGCAAGAGGGGAGAGUGGAAUUCCAUGUGUAGCGGUGAAAUGCGUAGAGAUGUGGAGGAACACCAGUGGCGAAGGCGACUCUCUGGUCUGUAACUGACGCUGGGGAGCGAAAGCGUGGGGAGCGAACAGGAUUAGAUACCCGUGUAGUCCCUGUCUCUUAUACA
Molecule: ribosomal RNA, 301 nt
Filed under: uncultured bacterium
Lineage: Bacteria
Description: partial 16S ribosomal RNA
Rfam family: Bacterial small subunit ribosomal RNA
Source: RNAcentral